RNAcentral lists this long non-coding RNA (891 nucleotides) under Betta splendens (Siamese fighting fish). Its description in RNAcentral is "lncRNA (ENSBSLG00000010041.1)". The record is from RNAcentral. Lineage: Eukaryota; Metazoa; Chordata; Actinopteri; Anabantiformes; Osphronemidae.
AUGAAUGUGUUUAACUGGCCCAAAACUACUUGCGGGACCUUUUGCUGUUGUUCUUGUUCGUUUCUUCCACCACCUCUUUCGCUGCUGUCCUCACCAACUCCUACUCGCCCUGGAGCUGUAAAGACAGGAGGAAGGGGUUUCGUGUUGGACCACAGGCGCUGGCCAGCUCCUAUGAGGAGGGUCAUCGACGACUUGCUGACCAAAUACCAGGGACAGGAGGACAUGCUCAGGCUUGUGGAUCACGAGUAUGCAGCUCUAGUUCACAAGUCCUUUAUAGACCCGAACAGUUUAUUGCACCCCACAACCAAUUUACACAUUUCCCACCAGCUGAACACCACUUCUCUGAAUAUAAGUCCAGAAACAGUUCAAGUGACACAACAACUUUCUGACAGCGGCAGUGGGAGGGACAAAAGAAGAUCCAGACAAAAACCUGUCAUUCUUGUAGGCAGCGCAAAUCGAGGUACCACAACAAUGGUUCCUCGUUACACUUCUCCCAUCAGCGGGAACUGGAUGCUACCAAAAGAAAAGGUGGAGGAGAAAGGGCACCAGAAAAGAAAAAGAACUGAGCCUGAACCUCCUCCUGCAUCUCCAUCCACAGGAGGCAGGUGUGGCUUCUGCCGAAAAGAACUGAAACAGACCUCACAUACACACUGGCUUCUCUGAUAUUGUUGGCAAAUACAAAUACUGCCCAGCAAAAGUUCUCUCCUUGUAUGAGAAUAAUGUCAUGAAGAGACAGAUAACCUGGAGGGAGUUUCAGGCAUCUCCUUUCUAUAUUAUGGAAACAGAGAGAUGGGCAGUAGAGAAGGGGAAUUAUGAGAUAUUCAGUCACUUUUGACAGUGUAAUACUAAAACUGGAGACUGAAUAAAGGGACUUUGGCCAAUUCUUUCGCA